AACGAACGCUGGCGGCAUGCCUAACACAUGCAAGUCGAACGAGACCUUCGGGUCUAGUGGCGCACGGGUGCGUAACGCGUGGGAACCUGCCCUUAGGUUCGGAAUAACUCCCCGAAAGGGGUGCUAAUACCGGAUAAUGUCUUCGGACCAAAGAUUUAUCGCCUUUGGAUGGGCCCGCGUUGGAUUAGCUAGUUGGUAGGGUAAAAGCCUACCAAGGCGACGAUCCAUAGCUGGUCUGAGAGGAUGAUCAGCCACACUGGGACUGAGACACGGCCCAGACUCCUACGGGGGGCAGCAGUGGGGAAUAUUGGACGAUGGGCGAAAGCCUGAUCCAGCCAUGCCGCGUGAGUGAUGAAGGCCUUAGGGUUGUAAAGCUCUUUUACCCGGGAUGAUAAUGACAGUACCGGGAGAAUAAGCUCCGGCUAACUCCGUG
This 433-nucleotide ribosomal RNA is filed under the name uncultured bacterium. Its description in RNAcentral is "partial 16S ribosomal RNA". It matches the Rfam family "Bacterial small subunit ribosomal RNA", at positions 29 to 507 of the family's 1533-position model. The record is from RNAcentral.